RNAcentral lists this small RNA (136 nucleotides) under Pantoea coffeiphila. RNAcentral describes it as "RtT sRNA". It matches the Rfam family "RtT RNA". From Rfam's summary of the family: This family represents a bacterial cis-regulatory element known as RtT RNA. The exact function of RtT is unknown although it is thought that it may be involved in changing the cellular response in relation to amino acid starvation. Lineage: Bacteria; Pseudomonadati; Pseudomonadota; Gammaproteobacteria; Enterobacterales; Erwiniaceae. The record is from RNAcentral.
AUUUUCCGCGGCCAGGGAGGGUGAGAACCCUCGACAGGGUUCGACAAAACGGCAGGAAUGACGUUUUGCACAGCCGCAGGCUGCCCGCAGGGCGAGGCACAGGGAAGUGCCUCGUGAUAUCCCUCCCUCACCACCA